CUGUGAUAUACCCCACUGAAUUGGAGGCGCAGUGUCGUGGAUCCACAUUUAUUUCAGCUGGAAUCAGUCGAUGCCUGAUUGCUUUAUUUGCCGUUCAUCAGGUCUUGACACUGUUAGAACUUCUCCUCUGAAGCUGAACGAUUGAUGUUCUUCAGGUCACUGCACCCACCUUUCGACAAAGGCUUAGACCUUCCAAAAAGCAGGGAGACUCCUCCACUGAUCCAGUCGUCCGCCGUGAAGAUCAGGACACUACAUAGGGCAAGGCCACGUUACACCGGUGACGGACACUGACAGCCUAGACCAUUAAACG
Molecule: long non-coding RNA, 310 nt
Filed under: Salmo salar (Atlantic salmon)
Lineage: Eukaryota; Metazoa; Chordata; Actinopteri; Salmoniformes; Salmonidae
Description: lncRNA (ENSSSAG00000097230.1)
Source: RNAcentral